GGGAAUGUAACGGCUUCGACGGGAUGAAAGAAGGUUAAAACAGCAUAUAGUGUUCUCAGCAAGCACUUUAAAAAGGCUGAAAGGCUAUAAAUGCCGACUAUAACUAUGCAAUGGCUGCUUAAUUAAAAAAGCAACCCGUUUUACUGCACCGUCUCCGCUCACCGGACAGCAGUAAAACGCCAAACAGGUGAGAUAGCUUAAACUCCUGCCUGUGUGGUUUAAGUGAAGCUAAAGCGGGCUGGUACAUAAAAGGUUUGUUUACUGUCCUGUUGUGUGCGAGGAGAUAAUACAAUAAACUAAAUAUGUAGACGUUUUAAUGGUCUUCGUUUCGGACCCGGGUUCGACUCCCGGCAUUUCCACAA
RNAcentral lists this transfer-messenger RNA (362 nucleotides) under Ignavibacteria. RNAcentral describes it as "FEN-1279 sp016218085 Standard tmRNA". It matches the Rfam family "transfer-messenger RNA". From Rfam's summary of the family: Bacterial tmRNA, also known as 10Sa RNA or SsrA, is named for its dual tRNA and mRNA-like properties. Its role is to liberate the mRNA from a stalled ribosome. RNAcentral also lists the same sequence under 1 other name. Lineage: Bacteria; Pseudomonadati; Ignavibacteriota. The record is from RNAcentral.